UCCUCUUCCUCCUGAGGCUGACAUUACAAGAGAACUGCAGACCAGCCCUGCGUUACCUGCCUCCUUGUCCACAUCUGAGGUGGAGCCCUUGGAUGUGCUCUAGAAGGUUGGGACCUUGGGAGAGACAGCUCUCUGCAGCUGAGGCAAACCCUGGAAGAGCUAACAGGUGGUUGGGACAAGUCCUUCCAUGAGAGGGGAGCCGAAUAGUUCAUCUCAGCGUCCAUCACAUCGUGUAGGCACCUCGAUGAGCAUCGAUGCCAGGCCAGCAGGCACCCACAGGGGGACCAUCUCCUGGCUCCCUGGGACACUCACACCUCAGAAGCAAAGAGACUAAUGCUGCCUGAGCAGGGGAAGAGGAAAAUGUCUGUGACGGGUUGCUCUUGAGAACUCCAAGACCCAGGAAUAAAUGUGGAGCAGAGGAAAUUUUCAGGGAACUGGAGUUUCCAAAAUGUUGAGUGUGGUUCAGUGGGCUACACGUACAAGUAAUGGUGUUUGACAUGGGAGUUCCUUCCAUAUGUGAAGAGAACAGGCUGAUGGAGGAGAACACGACUUUCAGUUGGCGACCUGAUGACCCUGGCUUGCUCGCUCACCAAAGGCCCACCUUCAGCCCUUUAUUGGUUUGCUCAUGUGGCAGAGCCCCCAUCAGCCUGAGCUUCUCAGCUCGAAUGGCUGGGGUUGGAGCUUGGGACACAAAUUCAUGAACAAGGAAAGAACCACAGCCGCUGGCCGCAAAAGCCAAGUGGGCAUCUGGUCCCGGUGACUCUCUCCAAAGCAGCUCCUUCCACAGACAAGGUGCGACAAGUGUGCUUCAGCCAGCCAGGACCACACGCUGUAGAGGACUAGGCAUCCUACUUAAAUAAACAGCAAACAUGAACACAGUCGUGCACAAGCCAACGAAACGUUCUCUCCCAGAACAUUCCAGGAGCUGCUAAAGCAGCAGGUCAUGGCAUAAGACUGCCACAACAUUUCCAAAAUCAAGCUGUUGGAUGAAGUGCAGACUUCUAUUUUGAUAACUGCAGCUACAAUGAAUACCAGCUAGCCAAGGACAACUCCAUUUAUGAAGCCAUUUUUAAAGAUGACCCAGUGAAGAGGACGGUAUAAAAAGUUCAAACAGCAACCAGGUGGAAAAUAAUUCUGGGAUAUCGAGAUGUGACCUCUGUGUUCUUCAGAUACCUAGUCCGGGCAUGGCGUGGAAAGCUUUAAGAGGCUGUGGAGCACCAGGUCUCAUCUCCCUCAAGGUGUGGAAGGGACCCUAGAGACUCACCCACCCAGCUGCAGGAUGCCCGGCUACCUCCAAGAAUCAGAUGGUUCUGCACAUAAGUAAUAAACGAUACUUUUUCUAAACAAAAAGACUGAAUUUAUCAAAUACUUGUAACAUUUUUAAAGAAAGUGUAUUGGACACUGGGCCAUUUGCUUCCUCUUACGGAGUUCUAAAAGUCUCCUGAACCCAUCACUGGGUACCGCGAGGUAGAUACCAUAUGGCCUUGCAUCGUUUGAACUUCACCCUUGUAAGUCUGGCAAACUAACACUAAUAGUUAGUCUGUUUUGAAAACCAUUUAUCCCCAUGGAGGACGACUCUCAGGAA
Suricata suricatta (meerkat) is the source of this 1585-nucleotide long non-coding RNA. RefSeq lists it as uncharacterized. The record is from RefSeq and is a predicted model, not a curated record. Lineage: Eukaryota; Metazoa; Chordata; Mammalia; Carnivora; Herpestidae. The transcript has 8 exons.